CGCUCUAACUUAACCAAGAUAAGUAAAUUAGUGUAAAUAGGAAAGAUGGUAGAAUCAAAUAAGAACAAUAUUAAAGGUAAGAUAACAGUGAGUGAUAAUAUGGGAAUAGAGAGUAGAGCAAUCUAGUAUAUGGGCGAUGGUAGCAGAAUAGAGAGAAUAACUAUGGUUUCUCUACUUCAAAGGGGUAUGUCUAUGUCUAGGACGAACCACGUGAUAAGAGUACACCACAAAAGAUGCUUAUCCUUAGGCCGAUAAACCCUACCCGUCCUGCUAACGAGAGGUGGACUACAGAGGACCAACGUAACUGUCACCUACGCGGCCUACCACACGAUCCAGCUGGACAGGGGAUAUCCACAAGUA
RNAcentral lists this long non-coding RNA (360 nucleotides) under Sorghum bicolor (sorghum). RNAcentral describes it as "long non-coding RNA (SBIC_LNC006425)". Lineage: Eukaryota; Viridiplantae; Streptophyta; Magnoliopsida; Poales; Poaceae. The record is from RNAcentral.